This 424-nucleotide ribosomal RNA is filed under the name uncultured bacterium. Its description in RNAcentral is "bacterial SSU rRNA". It matches the Rfam family "Bacterial small subunit ribosomal RNA", at positions 355 to 775 of the family's 1533-position model. The record is from RNAcentral.
UGAGGAAUAUUGGUCAAUGGACGAGAGUCUGAACCAGCCAAGUCGCGUGAAGGAAGACGGCCCUACGGGUUGUAAACUUCUUUUGUAAGGGAAUAAAUAGUCUUACGCGCUAAGACGUUGCAGGUACCUUACGAAUAAGGAUCGGCUAACUCCGUGCCAGCAGCCGCGGUAAUACGGAGGAUCCGAGCGUUAUCCGGAUUUAUUGGGUUUAAAGGGUGCGCAGGCGGUAUGUUAAGUCGGCGGUGAAAUUUUGCAGCUCAACUGUAAAAGAGCCUUCGAAACUGGCAAGCUUGAGUGUGGAUGAAGUAGGCGGAAUUUGUGGUGUAGCGGUGAAAUGCAUAGAUAUCACAAAGAACACCGAUUGCGCAAGCAGCUUACUAAACCAUAACUGACGCUCAUGCACGAAGGCGUGGGGAUCAAACAG